Molecule: long non-coding RNA, 1262 nt
Organism: Brienomyrus brachyistius
Lineage: Eukaryota; Metazoa; Chordata; Actinopteri; Osteoglossiformes; Mormyridae
Exons: 2
Source: RefSeq, a predicted model, not a curated record
UGCAGUCAUUGAGACGAGGGUUUUCGGGGAUCCGAAAAGAGCGAAAGGAUUGGAUUGAUCUUUAAAGAGUAAAGGACACAGCGGAGAGUCCAAGAUUUCCUAACAUUAGCCGGAAUAGUUUAAUAACCACUGACAUUUAUCAGAGAUUAUCAUGCAAAGCAACUUUUAGUGCUGACUGGGGCUUAGACUUAUGACAUUUCCAUUGCCAGCAUAACACUCCAUUUGUGGAGCCAUUCACCCAAACUGCGUCUCUCAUCGUCACGGACUCUAUCUCCCAACUAAAAGGGGAAAGAGAAUGUAAAAUAUAUUCGCUAGACUUUCCCAGGGAAGAUAUUUCACCUGUUUUUACACCAAAGUGAAAAUGGAAAUGGCUGAUGAGGACGUCCUCCACCUAACCCGGGCUGCAGCGAGGUGUCGUGAAGCUGCCUCAGGUGUUUGCCCUGCUCCUCCCCCAGGAAGACACCUUUACUCGAAGUGUGCCAUCUCCAGGGAGCGAUGGAAACAAUUUGCGAGCAUCUGGCCGUCCCCAGGGGGGGGGGCGAUUCUGAGGAAGCCGCAGUCAGUGAAAGAUUAGCGAUUUUAGCCUUAGAGAGAGCUUUUUGAGCUGCUGGGGAUGCAGCUGUGUAACACGCUGGCAGCGGGGGUAACCCCGUACAAACCCUCCUAUAACACAACACCCAUCUCAUUCCCUUCACCAAUUUUUUUCAAUCAGGACGACGUCACAGGCUGUGUACCUUUGGUUACAAUACUGGUAGGGACCAAAUCAGACCUGAACCCCAUGAAACACUCCAACAAUAUUGGUUGGGACAUAUCUCAGUAGUAUCCAAAUUUACACCCCUGUCCUUUGGUCAAAAGAUUACAUAAUAAGUCAACAAUUCCCUCGCCAUAUUAAAUAGAAUAAGCUUUCUUAUUGUGUUUUUUUUAUGCACCGUUUUUAUUACUUGUUGCGUUGUAUGAUGUUAUGCUAUAUAUGAAGCAUGUCUAAGAGGAAUUUCUGUUACUUUGUAACGGACAACAGAAUUUUCUUGAAUCCGAAUCUUGAAUCUCUUUUUGCUCAUUGCAGGGAUUUGUGAUAAUCAUGCAGAGCCAGCUAGCCCUCAAAUUGGAAGCUUCAGAAAUCGCAGCCCUUUGAGCCAAUCGUACGUUAAUUUCGAAACAGUGCAUUUAUCAGAUGUUGCUUUUUGCGAACAGGAAAAAUGUGUCUGAAUUUACACGUUCUCUCCUUUUCACAAAUCGUGUAAAUAAAAAAAUGAAUUAGAUCA